GUGGCUGAGUUUCCGUUGAUCGUAUGACAAGAGAGCAAGCUCACUAUGUCAGGAAGAACCUUAUAUACUCUCACUCACUAUUUCGCCAACAAAAUAUUUGAAAACGUUAGGUAAAAAACACUCUGAGGGAUUGAAACAUUGUUUUAUUGAACAUUUUUAGUUUCUUCAUUGCCAGUAAUUUGUUUAUAGUAUAAAGAGAUAGAGCUUGAGACAUCAGGACGGAGUGGUCAGGUCUGUUUUUAAGAAUUAAAACCAGAACUAUAUCACCCAAUUCAGUGUUUUAAAGUUUUUUAAAAAUUUUUCCCGUACAUAGUCGUGCCGGGAUAAAAAGUACUCACUUACUGACAACAUAAUUCGAAAGGCGAGUUCGGCUCAAUUUCUUGAUAAUGAUGAUGCUUCAAUCUGCGUCUGUCUUGUCGCUUAAUGGAGAAAGAAACUGGAUUUAAGAGUAUGUAUGUAUUUAUGUAUGUAUGUAUGUGCUUGUCAUGUAUAUAAAUAUGAGUGUGUGUACAUCGAUGAAGACAAAGGUGAUGUUUUUGUGGGCUUCGAUUUGCAGACUAAUUAAGACCUUAAAAUUGUUACUGGUCAGGCCAAAAAGAAAUGAAAAUUAAGUCAUUGAGCUCGGCAUCAAUGAAAUGGUUUAAUAUGGUCAAAAUAUGAUUUCUUCAGCGAUAUUAGCAACAACAUAUUUUAAUCUAAGAAUGUAUAUAGUGUGUGUAUGGAUGUACGCUUAUCAUAUUUUCUGCGAGACUUGAAACCAAUGUCAUCUGAUAAAGGCCUGUAAAUUGCAUCUGAAUAUCAAAACCUGCUGAUGAACCAAGUUAUGGUAUUGGAGCACGGAGAAGUUGCUUGGCCGCGUCUUCAGAUUAGGUCGCUUUCAUUUUUUACCCCUCUGCAGUUGAUGGACAGACGAAUGCAGAUGCAAAAUCUUACAUUUCUAUAUACAUAUGUAUGUACGAAAAAGUUUAAAUGUGUGAGUACCUAAACUCUACCAUACAUCCAUACAUAUAUAUCAAUGUGUACGUAUGUAUAUAAAAAUAUCUGGUUUUUUGUUGUUUCCAAGAACCGACCAAAGUUCCCUCAUAAAAUAAGACUAAAUGUGUGCAUGGAAAUGUCCAUACGUACAUACAUAUAUAUGUAUGCAUCUCUCGCGUACAGAAAUACUGAAGAAUUUAUAUGUAUGCUUGGAAUGACUUGAAUAAGACGUUAAAUUACAAAAGGCACAUAAUGAGAACGUAGGAGAGGAGCGCACAGCAAGCGCAUUUUAAGGCCUGAUCCAGCCCGCUGUGCUCUCGCAGGCAGCGAAUCUGCUUGAGUCCCAACGUAGCCCUCAGCCACGCCACAGGUUACCGAAAGGUCGUUUUAUAGACAUCUUGGCUCGUCGACUACCCCGGCCAAGCAUUGACAAAAUUCAGAGUCAGUGUCUGCAGGUACAAUGCAGAUCGCACACAGAUACUCACUAAUACAUAAACACUAGCACUCAGAUUCACAUGUUUUCUUUAUGUAUGUAUAUACCCGAGAUAUAUGUAUAUGCAUAAAUAUGUAACUUUUUAUUAAAUUAUUUUAUGGUACGUGCUCUAAAGUUCAAGGCAAGGAAAACAAUGCCUUUUUAAUGUUUUUUAACUACACAUAAUAUGAUUUAGAAAAUAUAAAUAGGUACAUAUUUAUGUACCUAUUCCUAAAAAAAAUAAAAUAAA
This is a long non-coding RNA of Drosophila miranda, 1697 nucleotides long. RefSeq lists it as uncharacterized. NCBI's taxonomy places the organism in Eukaryota, Metazoa, Arthropoda, Insecta, Diptera, Drosophilidae. The record is from RefSeq and is a predicted model, not a curated record. The transcript has 3 exons.